CCCAUUAAAAAAUAAAACCUACUACCAAAAUAAUAAAUGCAUUUCCCAGUGCUGCUGGGCAAUGUCCCGCCUUCCUGACUUGCAUCUAUCAUUGAUUAGUUCUGAAAACUUUAAACCCGCCCCAACUACUGAGUGACAGCAAAUUCCUACAUUUCUAUUGGAGACUCCGCUUGCGAGAUUUAAAACGAGAUUACAAUCAGGAUGGAGGCUUGGUAGUGGGAUUUCAAGCUGUAUUACAGUUAAGACACGGAGGAUUUAAAACAGAAUUGUGGAAUGUAAAAAAAAGGCUAGACACAAAAACCCCAGAAGAAUGUGCCCGUGACCAAAAGGAUUUCACUGUGGAAGACAGCAAAGGAAAGCAGUCUUGUCAGCUUGAUUCAGACUCGCAGCUUGUACGAGAGGACCGUUCCUCUGCUCUCGCCUGGCUGCGAUGAUGCUCUCCUUGGCUCUCCUCUGCCGUGAAUAUUUCCUCCAAGGCUGCGGUGCGGGUCUCAGGGGUCCCAGGAGGUCAGAUCUGAGCAGUGCAACUCCAACGAGCUCUGGCAGAUUCGCCUAAAGCGACUGUUGCCUCCAGUUCACUGGCAUUCCAUCCUGCAUGAUUUUUUUUUCUGCCUAAAUGGAUAUCGCUUGAUCCUCUCCGUCCUGCUGUGGACUGCAUCCUUCUUCCUUCUGCCGGAGCUGGG
This is a long non-coding RNA of Acipenser ruthenus (sterlet), 683 nucleotides long. RefSeq lists it as uncharacterized. The transcript is spliced from 3 exons. The record is from RefSeq and is a predicted model, not a curated record. NCBI's taxonomy places the organism in Eukaryota, Metazoa, Chordata, Actinopteri, Acipenseriformes, Acipenseridae.